UGGGGUCACCUUUAGAGGACCCAGCAAAUGUAACCAGAGCCCCAAAGAGUGGUAAGGAGCUGCUGUAAAAAGACAGGGAAAGAGAAUCCCCACAGAAAGGAUGUUGGGGCAGAGUUCCCCAGCUGGUUCAAACUUGAUGUUCUUAAAGGCGAGCAUGCAGGUACAUCUCUGGAAUCUAUGAGGACGAGCUCACAGCCGGGUUGCCAACUGUGUCAAAGAAGACUACUGUGAGAAGAAACAAACACUAAACCGAAACCGCAUCACAACACAAGAAGGCCUACUGAAUCUGCCACAAAGAGCACCACUAGUGACUCAGAAACUCAUUUUCAGGAGUCUUAGGGCACAUUUGUGUUUUAAGAAGUGAAAAGGCGUGACAUUAAGUGACAAUGGACGUCUGAAGUGCUGUGUGCAAGAACACUGACUAGGGAUGCAGUGGAGGCACAAUGGAGUAGCAACCUGACUGACCUGACAACUGUCUUAGAAGGCCAGAGGUAAAGUUAGCUGCUGUGUGCUGACCUCCAUGCUGAUGGGAGCGAGCUUACUUGCUCCCCUGACUGCACUUCUGUGGCAGCUUCUCUAGACAGAUGCUCCAGCUACACUUUGUGUCCACGGGGACAUCUGAGCCUCUUCUCCUGAGGACUCUGCCGCAUCACUCUGACCUGAGCACCAGUUGGAAGUCUGGCUAGGUUUGGUAUGUUGAGAUGAAAUAAAAUG
Long non-coding RNA from Mus caroli (Ryukyu mouse), 714 nucleotides. RefSeq lists it as uncharacterized. Lineage: Eukaryota; Metazoa; Chordata; Mammalia; Rodentia; Muridae. The record is from RefSeq and is a predicted model, not a curated record.